RNAcentral lists this transfer RNA (66 nucleotides) under Isoperla bilineata. RNAcentral describes it as "tRNA-Trp". RNAcentral also lists the same sequence under 2 other names. Lineage: Eukaryota; Metazoa; Arthropoda; Insecta; Plecoptera; Perlodidae. The record is from RNAcentral.
AAGGCUUUAAGUUAAAUAAACUCAUAGCCUUCAAAGUUAUAAAUAAAGAAAUUUCUUUAAGCCUUA